This is a long non-coding RNA of Alexandromys fortis (reed vole), 1531 nucleotides long. RefSeq lists it as uncharacterized. The record is from RefSeq and is a predicted model, not a curated record. The transcript is spliced from 3 exons. Lineage: Eukaryota; Metazoa; Chordata; Mammalia; Rodentia; Cricetidae.
GGUGAACAUGAAGCCUAGAAGAAGGGAAGGGUUCCUGAGCACUGACCGCAGCGCCAUCUUUCUUUGGAGCCUCUUCAGUCUAUCUGCCAAUGGCAUGAACAGUAAGCAUGUCUCGGGUGCAGUUCACACCGGCAUGGGUGUGAUGUCAAGAUGCCAGCAGGAAGGAACGGCUCACUCCAGGUGCUCUCCUGGGAACAGAAACAAGUGCCUGACACACGUCUCUAGAAGAAAGAAACAUAUUAAAGUAACUGUGGCUUGAGAGACAUGAUGACCAAUGGAAUCGAAUUGAAGACCCGGAUAUUAAUCCGCACACCUAUGAACACCUGAUUUUUGACAAAGAAGCUAAAAUAAUACAAUAGAAAAAAGAAAGCAUCUUUAGCAAAUGGUGCUGGAAUAACUGGAUACCCACCUAUAGAAGGAUGAAAAAAGACCCACAUCUAUCACCAUGCACAAAACUCAAAUCCAAAUGGAUUAAAGACCUCAAUAUAAAUCCUACCACACUGAACCUGAUAGAGGAGAAAGUGGGAAGUAGCCUUCAAUGCAUGGGCACAGGAGACCACUUCCUAUGUAUAACCCCAGUAGCACAGACACUAAGAACAACAAUGAAUAAAUGGGACCUACUGAAACUGAGAAGCUUCUGUAAAGCAAAGGACACAGUCAAUAAGACAAAAAGGCAGCCUACUGAAUGGGAAAAGAUCUUCACCAACCCCACAUCAGACAAAGGACUGAUCUCCAAAAUAUAUAAAGAACUCAAGAAAUUAGACAUUAAAAUUCUAAAUAACCCAAUUAAAAAAAUGGUGUACUGAACUAAACAGAGAAUUCUCAACAGAAGAAUUUCAAAUGGCCAAAAGAUACUUGAGGACAUGUUCAACUUCCUUAGCUAUGAGGGUAAUGUAAAUCAAAACAACUCUGAGAUACCAUCUUACACCUGUCAGAAUGGCUAAAAUCAAAAACACCAAUCAAUGAUAGCCUAUGCUGGAGAGGAUGUGGAGUAAGGGUAACACUCAUCCAUUUCUAGUGGGAAUGAAAACUUCUGCAACCACUUUGGAAAUCAGUAUGGCCGUUUCUCAGGAAAUUGGGAGUCAACCUACCUCAGGAUCCAGCAAUACCACUCUUGGGAAUAUACCCAAACGAUGCUCAAUCAUACUACAAAAGCAUUUGUUCAACUAUGUUCAUAGCAGCAUUAUUUGUAACAACCAGAACCUGGAAACAACCUAGAUGUCCCUCAACUGAAGAAUGGAUAAGGAAAGUGUGGAACAUAUACACAUUGGAGUACUACUCAGUGGUAAAAAACAAUGACAUCUUCAAUUUUGCAUGCAAAUGGAUGGAACUAGAAAACACUAUCCUGAGUGAGGUAACCCAGACCCCCCAAAAUGAAUAUGGUAUGUACUCACUCGUUAGUGGAUACUAGCCAUAAACAAAGGAUAUUGAAGCCUAUAAUUCAUGAUCCUAGAGAAGCUAAAUAAUAAAGUGAACCCAAAGAAAAAUAUAGAUGGACCCACAUGGGAACUGGAAACAAAUAAGAUCACCU